UUCUGUCGUAUGUCUUUUAGACCUGCAACUCCGUUGAGGCGAGCCAGGCUAACAUGACAUCGUCCAGGUCACUCAGACCUGGUUCACCAUUCAGUGGCCGGUGUCUGGGGCAACUGGUGAUGUGUGUGGGGGUCAC
Molecule: long non-coding RNA, 136 nt
Organism: Amblyraja radiata (thorny skate)
Lineage: Eukaryota; Metazoa; Chordata; Chondrichthyes; Rajiformes; Rajidae
Exons: 3
Source: RefSeq, a predicted model, not a curated record